This 402-nucleotide ribosomal RNA is filed under the name uncultured bacterium. RNAcentral's name for it is "bacterial SSU rRNA". It matches the Rfam family "Bacterial small subunit ribosomal RNA", at positions 355 to 774 of the family's 1533-position model. The record is from RNAcentral.
UGGGGAAUCUUAGACAAUGGGGGAAACCCUGAUCUAGCCAUGCCGCGUGAGUGAUGAAGGCCUUAGGGUUGUAAAGCUCUUUCAGCUGGGAAGAUAAUGACGGUACCAGCAGAAGAAGCCCCGGCUAACUCCGUGCCAGCAGCCGCGGUAAUACGGAGGGGGCUAGCGUUGUUCGGAAUUACUGGGCGUAAAGCGCACGUAGGCGGACUGGAAAGUUGGAGGUGAAAUCCCAGGGCUCAACCUUGGAACUGCCUUCAAAACUAUCAGUCUGGAGUUCGAGAGAGGUGAGUGGAAUUGCGAGUGUAGAGGUGAAAUUCGUAGAUAUUCGCAGGAACACCAGUGGCGAAGGCGGCUCACUGGCUCGAUACUGACGCUGAGGUGCGAAAGUGUGGGGAGCAAACA